Non-coding RNA from Cyanistes caeruleus (blue tit), 657 nucleotides. NCBI's taxonomy places the organism in Eukaryota, Metazoa, Chordata, Aves, Passeriformes, Paridae. The record is from RefSeq and is a predicted model, not a curated record.
UCCUAAAAAGAAAGAGAGAGAAGCAAAGCACAGAAUGUGUGGCAGCAACAAAAUAGAUUGAAAGGAAAUGCAGUUCCCUUACCUCCAAAUUAUAAUUUGGAAUUAAUAAGAACAGGAAUGGAAGGGGGACAAGAAGAAGUGAGUUUGGCUUUGCUCAGAAGAGGUUGUCUCUUACAGCUUCGUAGCUAUCGCAUAUGUGUUCUAACAGUUUUUAAGCAACACCUAUGCAUUGUGUAAAUCUACAUGGGGAAUUAGUCCAUCUACAUCUCCUCAUAUGAUGAGGGGGAGAAAAAAAUCCAUCCUUGGGCUCUGCUUGCACCGCUUUAGAAAUCCCAGUACCCUACAGUGGCAAAACAUCCUGCAGCAUACAGCCUGUCCCUUGCAGAAGUGCAGGGAAACUGCCCAUGACAAGUGAAACCAGCAGGCAAUCCGCUCCAGCUCCUGGCGACGUGUCCUGCACUAUCAGAUAUCAUAUGACUCUUUAUUUGGACUCCCGUUAGCAGUAUGGGCCUGUUAGGAGGCUGUUUGUUUUCUUUUCCUUUCAUUUCCUUCUCCUUAGUUCCCCCCUAUUUUAUGUGUGCCCGUGUGAGCGUAUCCCCUUUAUAAUCUCUUUUCUUGUGCUGAAGCUUUAUAGAAAAGAAAAAAGAAAAAAAAAAA